CGGGCUCAAACGGCGGAGGAGAGUUUUUGAAAGGAGGCUGCCAGCAAUGGCCUCCGCCGAGGUGCUGCAUGGUUGUCGUCAGCUCGUGCCGUGAGGUGUCGGCUUAAGUGCCAUAACGAGCGCAACCCCCACCGCCAGUUGCCAUCAGGCAAGGCUGGGCACUCUGGCGGGACUGCCGGCGCAAGCUGCGAGGAAGGCGGGGAUGACGUCAAAUCAGCACGGCCCUUACGUCCGGGGCGACACACGUGUUACAAUGGGGGGGACAAAGGGAAGCCAGGCGGCGACGCCGAGCGGAGCCCCAAACCCCCCCUCAGUUCGGAUCGGAGUCUGCAACCCGACUCCGUGAAGCUGGAUUCGCUAGUAAUCGCGCAUCAGCCACGGCGCGGUGAAUACGUUCCCGGGCC
This 404-nucleotide ribosomal RNA is filed under the name uncultured bacterium. RNAcentral describes it as "bacterial SSU rRNA". It matches the Rfam family "Bacterial small subunit ribosomal RNA", at positions 976 to 1380 of the family's 1533-position model. The record is from RNAcentral.